This 418-nucleotide long non-coding RNA is filed under the name Olea europaea subsp. europaea. Lineage: Eukaryota; Viridiplantae; Streptophyta; Magnoliopsida; Lamiales; Oleaceae. The record is from RNAcentral.
UCUUUAAAGAGAGAAAAUGAGGAGAGAGAACGCUAUAUUGAAAACAUAAGAGAGAAAAUGACAGACAUAGCAGUUUUGGUAGCAGAAGAAUAUGAAAGGAAGGUCAAAAUUUUAACAAAAAAUGGUGAAAACAUUGAUUUUUUCUCAUGUGUGGCAGUAUUGGGUCAGAGGAUUGAAGCUGGGUCUUCUUCUUGGAUGAAGAAAAAGCUUGAAGAGGAGAAAUUAAUGGAGUUUUUGCAGAUUAAAAGGUUUCUUUUGAAGCCCAAAAGCCAGAUGAGUCUGGCAGCUAGUAAUGGUUUCUUUUCUGCAUGAGAAGUUCCCUAUUUUUUUUCCCCUUCUAUCUAGCUGAGCAUGUGUCUAUACCUUAUAAGUUUAGUUAAAUAAAUAAUAUGACUUUAUAUUUAAAUGAAUAUAUUAU